Ursus americanus (American black bear) is the source of this 1652-nucleotide long non-coding RNA. The record is from Ensembl. NCBI's taxonomy places the organism in Eukaryota, Metazoa, Chordata, Mammalia, Carnivora, Ursidae.
CUCCUGUCCACACGGGUCCUGAGCUGCCCACGCCCAGAAGAGAGGUCCAGUCGGAAGGUGCCGGAGAGCCAGGUGAGGGGGGACGCAGCUGGGGCAGGGCCAGUGCCCCUGCAUCCUGGGGGAGGGGCCCUCCCCCAUUAGCCCAGGACAGAAGGCGGAGGUCUGGGUGGGCACGGUGUCCUCGGAGGAAGCAGUGGAGCCCAGGCCCAGAGGGGGCUGCUGGCCGCUUGAACCGCAGGAGCUCAGGACGCACAGGAGCAGCUACGGCGCCUGCAGGAGGAGCGGACCUGCAAGGUGUGCCUGGACCGCGCCGUGGGCACCGUCUUUGUGCCCUGCGGACACCUGGUCUGUGCCGAGUGCGCGCCAGCCCUGCGGCUGUGCCCCAUCUGCAGGACCCCCAUCCGCAGCCGUGUGCGCACCUUCCUGUCCUAGGCCAGGCGCUUCAAGUGCUGGCUGCCACGCGGGCACCCUGCCCAUCUCAGCCUGUCCCUCGGGCCACAUGGCAGGCCUGCUGAGGACAGCUGAGCUGGCAUCCAGAACUGCUGUCCUAAGUCCCCGAAUGGAGCCCAGGGUAGAGGGGAGCUGCAGACGGCGUGGCAGAGGGAGGGGGUGUCAAGGAGCUUUUACUGAUGCUUUUGGAGAUUCACAAUAAAGUCGUGGGUUUUCCCCGGACGUGCUCAGCAGCCUCUGUGCCAGAACCGCCAGCCCUGCCCCUACCGCCCACCAGCAGGGCAGCGCGGCCGGACGUCUCCCCUGUGCCUUCUCGUGUCCAGCGGGGCCCCUCCUGCCCCCUCUCCUCUCCCUUGUUCUGCUCUUCUCAGCGCCGCCGCCGUGAGGACUAAAACCACGUAGCCUCGGGCCACUUCGGGCUGAGCUUGUAAUUCACCAGCUCCUGCCUCUCAGGGAAGGAGGUCUACUGGGCGGCGUCCUUUCUACUUUCUACCCGGGGGCACCUUGGGGACGCUGUUCUGUGUCCCUUCUGUGAACAGUGCCACUAGCUGAGGACAAGGAAGUCCCUUGCUCUGUGCACAGAGGGGGCCUGUGUUCCUGGUCAAGCCCAGCCGCCUACCCAGGGCUCCAUCGGCGACCCCGGGGGCGGGUGGGGGCUUUGCCUGGGUGACAGCUCACAGCAGCUGGGGUGUGCAGCGUUUAAUCAGGAACUUGGCUGCUGGUGGGCGGGGUGUCACUGUGGGUUUAUACUGACCAUCGUGGUGGGGUCACACUUUCCUGUCUCAAAGUCCCCGUGGCCACCCCUCCCCCAGCAACGGGGUGUGCAGGCUCGGGGGGUCCGGGGCGGGCAUCGGCACCCAAGGGAGGGCUCAUCAGACAGCAGUCCCAGGCCAGCUGUGGGUGACGGAGAUCCCAGCGCUGCUGGAGUCUUCUAUGUCUUUUCUUUGUUUUUUGUUUUUAGAAAAAGGAAAUUAUAAAUUCUUUUGAAGUUGCAGCCAUUCCUAGUCUGGCACUUGCCCUGAUACCCUGGCUGGUGUCUGAUCACCUGGCUCCGGGGGUAGGUGCUCUGGCUACCUGCAGGGCCCGAGGGCAGGGAGGCCCGCUGAGUCUCCUCGUCUUUGGUGCUCCCUGGGGCUGGAGGGCGCAUGCAGGAGGGGUUGGUGCUUUUUCACUUACGCAGGCCUCUGGGGGCAAGGUGGGGG